UUUUAUGUAUGUUACAUCAGAACUUUUGCCCGUGUGGACCGAUUUCGACAAAUUUUCUUUUAAUCGAAAGGUGGUGUGUGUCAAUUGGUCCCAUUUAAAUUUAUUGGAGAUCUAACAACUACUUUUCGAGUUAUAUCUAAUAAUGCGUUUUUACUUGACGCUUUUUUCGCCGACCUACGUUGUAUUAUACCGCAUAACUUUCUACUGGAUGUACCGAUUUUGAUAAUUCUUUUUUUGUUGGAAAGGAGAU
This 250-nucleotide unclassified non-coding RNA is filed under the name Melitaea cinxia (Glanville fritillary). Its description in RNAcentral is "misc RNA ENSMCXG00005004370.1". The record is from RNAcentral. Lineage: Eukaryota; Metazoa; Arthropoda; Insecta; Lepidoptera; Nymphalidae.